GGGGGGAUAGCUCGAGUGGUAGAGCGCAUGCUUAGCAUGUAUGAGGUCCUGGUUUCCAUCCCCAGUACCUCCU
Molecule: transfer RNA, 73 nt
Organism: Camelus ferus (Wild Bactrian camel)
Lineage: Eukaryota; Metazoa; Chordata; Mammalia; Artiodactyla; Camelidae
Rfam family: tRNA
About the family: Transfer RNA (tRNA) molecules are approximately 80 nucleotides in length. Their secondary structure includes four short double-helical elements and three loops (D, anti-codon, and T loops). Further hydrogen bonds mediate the characteristic L-shaped molecular structure. tRNAs have two regions of fundamental functional importance: the anti-codon, which is responsible for specific mRNA codon recognition, and the 3' end, to which the tRNAs corresponding amino acid is attached (by aminoacyl-tRNA synthetases). tRNAs cope with the degeneracy of the genetic code in two manners: having more than one tRNA (with a specific anti-codon) for a particular amino acid; and 'wobble' base-pairing, i.e. permitting non-standard base-pairing at the 3rd anti-codon position.
Source: Rfam